AAUAAUAAUAACUGAAGAACAAGAAACAACAAAGUUGGUAUUUAUCAAGAAGCUAAAAAGGAUUAUUUCCUUUUUCCGUUAUCAUGUGGGACAUAGACCCAAAGUAUUUAACUUUACAAUGGUUGAACAACUAAACACAACAUAUACAAUUAGAGAUUGUAGUUCUGAGUCUUAAACGAGAUCGGCCGAGUUAACUCAGAUCAUCUUUCCUCCAAUACGAGUCAACUCGGUCAACUCACUCCCCCUUCCACCAAUGGCGGCGACUUCUCACCAUAUGUUAAAACAAAUAUUGUUUAGUAAAAUGUACGUAAUUUUGGGUACAGAGCUCGAAUUGAUUUGAUCUUUAUAUGGUUGGAAAGAAUACAUCCAUUCUACCACCACAACUCAACUUUGUCCCCAGAAGCUUAGGUACAUAACUUUCCAGAGCAAUUCAUCAGCUUGUAAUUUCCUUUUCUCCUCGCCUCCGAUAAACCCUCUGAUAUCAUAUCCUAACAUGCUGGACGUCGGCCGGAGACCGACGAUGCUGGCACCGGAGAAAUAUUUUUGCCGUGGUCUAGUGAUUUAAUGCUGGACUUCAAUUUAUGGGCGUGAUCUGAAUGGCCGUUAAUUAUAGCGACUGUAGCGGUAACCCAAACGCUUUUAAGCCUGGGCUUAGGCACUACACAAGUUCAUCGUAAAAUGGACGUCGACGCUGUGGCAAAGGCAUUCGUGGAGCACUACUACUCCAAGUUCGAUACCCACGGGGCCGCGCACGAAAAUCUGUACCAACAAGGUUCCAUGCUAAUUAGUUCAGUUUCAUCUAAGUUCUGGACUUCGGAUGAAAUUCGAGUUUCUUAAAAUAUUUUACUUAAUGAUAUUGUGUCUCCCUUUCAUGUACUUGAUUUAGAAAAUGCUACAGGUAAAUGCUUAUAGUUGCUGAAGUCUCUGGUUUAA
Molecule: long non-coding RNA, 933 nt
Organism: Lycium barbarum (goji berry)
Lineage: Eukaryota; Viridiplantae; Streptophyta; Magnoliopsida; Solanales; Solanaceae
Exons: 2
Source: RefSeq, a predicted model, not a curated record